UGAGCUCAAAUUUAAAAUCUGGUGUCCUUUGGGCAUCCGAGUUGUAGUCUAGAGAAGUGUUUUCCGUGUUGGACCAUGUACAAGUCUCCUGGAACGGAGCGUCAUAGAGGGUGAGAAUCCCGUUCUUGACAUGGACCCCCAAUGCUAUGUGAUGCACUCUCAAAGAGUCGAGUUGUUUGGGAUUGCAGCUCAAAAUGGGAGGUAAAUUCCUUCUAAAGCUAAAUAUUGGCGAGAGACCGAUAGCGAA
Molecule: ribosomal RNA, 247 nt
Filed under: Burgoa anomala
Lineage: Eukaryota; Fungi; Basidiomycota; Agaricomycetes; Cantharellales; Hydnaceae
Description: partial 28S ribosomal RNA
Rfam family: Eukaryotic large subunit ribosomal RNA
Source: RNAcentral